AAUCAACGCUGGCGGCGUGCCUCAGACAUGCAAGUCGAACGAUUAAAGCUCUCUUCGGAGAGUGCAUAAAGUGGCGCACGGGUGAGUAACACGUAAGUAAUCUACCUUUGAGUGGGGAAUAACGUUCGGAAACGGACGCUAAUACCGCAUAACGCAGCGGCACCGCAAGGUGACAGUUGUUAAAGGAGCAAUCCGCUUGAGGAGGAGCUUGCGGCAGAUUAGCUAGUUGGUAAGGUAAUGGCUUACCAAGGCUACGAUCUGUAUCCGGUCUAAGAGGACGGUCGGACACACUGACACUGAAUAACGGGUCAGACUCCUACGGGAGGCAGCAGUCGGGAAUUUUGGGCAAUGGGCGAAAGCCUGACCCAGCAACGCCGCGUGAAGGAUGAAGUAUUUCGGUAUGUAAACUUCGAAAGAAUAGGAAGAAUUAAUGACGGUACUAUUUAUAAGGUCCGGCUAACUACGUG
RNAcentral lists this ribosomal RNA (467 nucleotides) under uncultured bacterium. RNAcentral describes it as "bacterial SSU rRNA". It matches the Rfam family "Bacterial small subunit ribosomal RNA", at positions 32 to 507 of the family's 1533-position model. The record is from RNAcentral.